RNAcentral lists this ribosomal RNA (229 nucleotides) under uncultured bacterium. RNAcentral's name for it is "partial 16S ribosomal RNA". It matches the Rfam family "Bacterial small subunit ribosomal RNA", at positions 118 to 346 of the family's 1533-position model. The record is from RNAcentral.
UGAGGAGCAUGACCUUCGGCGGGGGAUAGCCGGCCCAGCGGCCGGGUAAUACCGCGUACGACCGCAUGGGGACAUCCCUGAGUGGUGAAAGCAGCAAUGCGCCGAAAGAGUGCCUCGCGGCCUAUCAGCUAGUUGGUGAGGUAACGGCUCACCAAGGCAACGAUGCGUAGCCGACCUGAGAGGGUGAUCGGCCACAUUGGAACUGAGACACGGUCCAGAUCCUACGGGG